AGAGUUUGAUCAUGGCUCAGAUUGAACGCUGGCGGUAUGCUUAACACAUGCAAGUCGAACGCGAAAGCACCUUCGGGUGUAAGUAGAGUGGCGGACGGGUGAGUAAGGCAUGGGAAUCUGCCCUAUAGCGGGGGAUAACUUGGGGAAGCCCAAGCUAAUACCGCAUACACCUACGGGUAAAAGAUGGCCUCUUCUUGAAAGCUAUUACUAUAGGAUGAGCCCAUGUAAGAUUAGCUAGUUGGUAGGGUAAAAGCCUACCAAGGCUAUGAUCCUUAGCUGGUCUGAGAGGACGAUCAGCCACACUGGGACUGAGACACGGCCCAGACUCCUACGGGAGGCAGCAGUGGGGAAUAUUGGACAAUGGGGGCAACCCUGAUCCAGCAAUACCGCGUGUGUGAAGAAGGCCUGCGGGUUGUAAAGCACUUUUAUCUGUGAGGAAGGGUUUAAUGUUAAUACCAUUAGACAUGACGUAGCAGAAGAAAGA
Molecule: ribosomal RNA, 484 nt
Filed under: uncultured bacterium
Lineage: Bacteria
Description: bacterial SSU rRNA
Rfam family: Bacterial small subunit ribosomal RNA
Source: RNAcentral